This 468-nucleotide ribosomal RNA is filed under the name uncultured bacterium. Its description in RNAcentral is "partial 16S ribosomal RNA". It matches the Rfam family "Bacterial small subunit ribosomal RNA", at positions 28 to 507 of the family's 1533-position model. The record is from RNAcentral.
GACGAACGCUGGCGGCGUGCUUAACACAUGCAAGUCGAACGGAAAGGCCCUGCUUUUGUGGGGUGCUCGAGUGGCGAACGGGUGAGUAACACGUGAGUAACCUGCCCUUGACUUUGGGAUAACUUCAGGAAACUGGGGCUAAUACCGGAUAGGAGCUCCUGCUGCAUGGUGGGGGUUGGAAAGUUUCGGCGGUUGGGGAUGGACUCGCGGCUUAUCAGCUUGUUGGUGGGGUAGUGGCUUACCAAGGCUUUGACGGGUAGCCGGCCUGAGAGGGUGACCGGCCACAUUGGGACUGAGAUACGGCCCAGACUCCUACGUGAGGCAGCAGUGGGGAAUAUUGCACAGUGGGCGGAAGCCUGAUGCAGCAACGCCGCGUGCGGGAUGACGGCCUUCGGGUUGUAAACCGCUUUCGCCUGUGACGAAGCGUGAGUGACGGUAAUGGGUAAAGAAGCACCGGCUAACUACGUG